Molecule: transfer RNA, 75 nt
Filed under: Planctomycetes bacterium MalM25
Lineage: Bacteria; Pseudomonadati; Planctomycetota
Description: tRNA-Glu
Source: RNAcentral
CGCCGGGUUAGCAGGCUUCGAUUCCCCUCCUUUUCAGGGAGGGGCUAGGGGAGGGUGUUAAGCCUCCCGCGAUGU